Molecule: ribosomal RNA, 196 nt
Filed under: Escherichia fergusonii
Lineage: Bacteria; Pseudomonadati; Pseudomonadota; Gammaproteobacteria; Enterobacterales; Enterobacteriaceae
Description: partial 16S ribosomal RNA
Rfam family: Bacterial small subunit ribosomal RNA
Source: RNAcentral
GAUGUGAAAUCCCCGGGCUCAACCUGGGAACUGCAUCUGAUACUGGCAAGCUUGAGUCUCGUAGAGGGGGGUAGAAUUCCAGGUGUAGCGGUGAAAUGCGUAGAGAUCUGGAGGAAUACCGGUGGCGAAGGCGGCCCCCUGGACGAAGACUGACGCUCAGGUGCGAAAGCGUGGGGAGCAAACAGGAUUAGAUACC